GCCAGGCAUGGUAGCGCAUGCCUGUAGUCCCAGCUACUCAGGAGGCUGAGGCAGGAGAAUCGCUUGAACCCGGGAGGCGGAGGUUGCAGUGAGCCGAGAUCAUGCCAUUGCACUCCAGCCUGGGCUACAGAGUGAGACUCUGUCUCAA
Molecule: non-coding RNA, 148 nt
Filed under: Pan troglodytes (chimpanzee)
Lineage: Eukaryota; Metazoa; Chordata; Mammalia; Primates; Hominidae
Source: Rfam by way of RNAcentral